Molecule: microRNA precursor, 100 nt
Filed under: Columba livia (rock pigeon)
Lineage: Eukaryota; Metazoa; Chordata; Aves; Columbiformes; Columbidae
Description: let-7b stem-loop (cli-let-7b)
Gene: cli-let-7b
Rfam family: let-7 microRNA precursor family (bases 1-84)
About the family: This family represents the microRNAs (miRNA) let-7 and mir-98. let-7 was identified from a study of developmental timing in C. elegans, and was later shown to be part of a much larger class of non-coding RNAs termed miRNAs. The extents of the hairpin precursors are not generally known and are estimated based on hairpin prediction. The products are thought to have regulatory roles through complementarity to mRNA.
Source: miRBase by way of RNAcentral
GGAUGAGGUAGUAGGUUGUGUGGUUUCAGGGUAGUGAUUUUGCCCCAGUCAGGAGAUAACUAUACAACCUACUGCCUUCCCUGAUAAGCAGCAUAACAAC